AACGCACAUUGCGCCCUUUGGUAUUCCUUAGGGCAUGCCUGUUCGAGCGUCAUUUAAACCCUCAAGCAUAGCUUGGUGUUGGGCGUCUGCUUCCCCUCGGGGAGGCUCGCCUCAAAUGCAUUGGCAGCCGGUACGUUGGCUUCGAGCGCAGCAGAAAAGCGCCUGGCGUCUGACGGUAGCGGCUCUCCAGCAAGUCCACCCCAAUUUUGACCUCGGAUCAGGUAGGGAUACCCGCUGAACUUAA
Molecule: unclassified non-coding RNA, 244 nt
Filed under: uncultured fungus
Lineage: Eukaryota; Fungi
Description: partial contains 5.8S ribosomal RNA, internal transcribed spacer 2, and large subunit ribosomal RNA
Source: RNAcentral